AUUGAACGCUGGCGGCAUGCCUUACACAUGCAAGUCGAACGGCAGCACGGGAGCAAUCCUGGUGGCGAGUGGCGAACGGGUGAGUAAAGUAUCGGAACGUGCCCAGUCGUGGGGGAUAACGUAGCGAAAGUUACGCUAAUACCGCAUACGAUCUAUGGAUGAAAGCGGGGGAUCGCAAGACCUCGCGCGAUUGGAGCGGCCGAUAUCAGAUUAGGUAGUUGGUGGGGUAAAGGCUCACCAAGCCGACGAUCCAUAGCUGGUCUGAGAGGAUGACCAGCCACACUGGGACUGAGACACGGCCCAGACUCCUACGGGAGGCAGCAGUGGGGAAUUUUGGACAAUGGGCGCAAGCCUGAUCCAGCCAUGCCGCGUGCAGGAUGAAGGCCUUCGGGUUGUAAACUGCUUUUGUACGGAACGAAAAGGUUUGACUUAAUACGUUGGACUCAUGACGGUACCGUAAGAAUAAGCACCGGCUAACUACGUGCCAGCCGCCGCGGUAA
Molecule: ribosomal RNA, 500 nt
Filed under: uncultured bacterium
Lineage: Bacteria
Description: partial 16S ribosomal RNA
Rfam family: Bacterial small subunit ribosomal RNA
Source: RNAcentral